UCUCCAUCAGACAGGGAUGUACACGGCCGGAUCUGUCUGUAGCGGUCAAGCCAUUUUUCUACCAUUUGUGUAACCAAGGGGUGGUUUCUCCGCCGAGAGCUUUUCUGCAUGGCCACUAGAACGCCCCCUUCAGUCACACAGCAGUCCAGCCACUCUCUGAGCAGUUUCUCUUGCUGCUCCUCAUUACCUAGCUCCUGAGCAGAAAGGAAGUGCACAUGAAGGAGCUUCCUUUCACUGUCAACCAGAGUGUAGCCAACAUCAAAAGCAGAAGGACGGUUCAGCAAGCGCACUUCAUCUGCAGUGAGCUGGCGUGCGAUGUCUCCUCCUGAUGACUUGUAUGCUUCUAUGGCUGCUAAAUCACCUUCCACAACCCCU
Molecule: long non-coding RNA, 375 nt
Filed under: Rattus norvegicus (Norway rat)
Lineage: Eukaryota; Metazoa; Chordata; Mammalia; Rodentia; Muridae
Description: long non-coding RNA NONRATT003273
Source: RNAcentral